Molecule: transfer RNA, 83 nt
Filed under: Tetrahymena thermophila SB210
Lineage: Eukaryota; Ciliophora; Oligohymenophorea; Hymenostomatida; Tetrahymenidae
Description: Tetrahymena thermophila tRNA-Val for anticodon CAC
Rfam family: tRNA
About the family: Transfer RNA (tRNA) molecules are approximately 80 nucleotides in length.
Source: RNAcentral
GUCGGCAUGGUGAAGCGGUAAUCACGAAGGUAUCACGAAGGUCUUAUGAACCUUAAUCCUAGGUUCAAACCCUAGUGUCGACG